UGGGGAAUAUUGCACAAUGGGCGCAAGCCUGAUGCAGCCAUGCCGCGUGUAUGAAGAAGGCCUUCGGGUUGUAAAGUACUUUCAGCGAGGAGGAAGGCGUUGUGGUUAAUAACCGCAACGAUUGACGUUACUCGCAGAAGAAGCACCGGCUAACUCCGUGCCAGCAGCCGCGGUAAUACGGAGGGUGCAAGCGUUAAUCGGAAUUACUGGGCGUAAAGCGCACGCAGGCGGUUUGUCAAGGCGGAUGUGAAAUCCCCGGGCUCAACCUGGGAACUGCAUCCGAAACUGGCAGGCUAGAGUCUUGUAGAGGGGGGUAGAAUUCCAGGUGUAGCGGUGAAAUGCGUAGAGAUCUGGAGGAAUACCGGUGGCGAAGGCGGCCCCCUGGACAAAGACUGACGCUCAGGUGCGAAAGCGUGGGGAGCAAACA
RNAcentral lists this ribosomal RNA (427 nucleotides) under uncultured bacterium. Its description in RNAcentral is "partial 16S ribosomal RNA". It matches the Rfam family "Bacterial small subunit ribosomal RNA", at positions 355 to 774 of the family's 1533-position model. The record is from RNAcentral.